UGGUGCAGAGAUGAAAGUUCUCCGGAUUUUCCCGGAAUUCCGGGUUUUUUAAAUUGUCCUCAAUUUUCUUCCGGGAAAUUAAAGUGCCGAAAAAUUAUUCCGGGAAUUCGUUGAAAACAUUGAAUGAACACGCGUUUGAGUUCGUUGUUUUGCUUGUAGCGACACCAUUUGAGCGAAGCGCGCCACAGCACUCGGUUGGUCUCUGCUGUACGUGCGUCAGCGCGAACAUUUACGCAUGCAAGCGUUGUUUUGGUUUCAACCAAUCAGCGCCGACGCAACCAACGUCAGAUAUCGAAGAAGCUCCGACUACAGCAAACGCAAGCAACGACAACCACCAUUCCCCUACAUUGGACUUUCGAAAUUUCGGCGACAGCGGAAGCCUCAAAGUCCAGAUAAAUAAUUGAAUAUUGAGUAUUUGAGCGCUAUAUGUAAAGUUAUUCGUGCAUAAUGUUCAAGCAGGUAGACAGACAAGCAGACUUACACGCGAUAGACGCGAGUGUGAGGAACACGUUCAAGUGGUCAUGGCUCGAAGAAAAGGACGUGAACGGAGAUUUUUUGUCUGACUACAUUCGGAAGGUUGACAAACCUGGAGAGCAAAAGGAAACGAGCAGAGUCUGACUGCAGUGGAUCUUCAAAGAAAAAUGCAAAAAAAUCAAAACAUGUUUAAAUGACAGAAGUGAAAGAAGUGAUUUAUUACUUUGGUAUUACUUUCCAUUAUUAUCAGGAGUAAAAAAUAAAAAGUGGAAAAUCUA
Molecule: long non-coding RNA, 752 nt
Organism: Hippocampus comes (tiger tail seahorse)
Lineage: Eukaryota; Metazoa; Chordata; Actinopteri; Syngnathiformes; Syngnathidae
Exons: 2
Source: RefSeq, a predicted model, not a curated record